AGGGCACCACCAGGAGUGGAGCCUGCGGCUUAAUUUGACUCAACACGGGAAAACUCACCCGGCCCGGACACUGGAAGGAUUGACAGAUUGAGAGCUCUUUCUUGAUUCAGUGGGUGGUGGUGCAUGGCCGUUCUUAGUUGGUGGAGUGAUUUGUCUGGUUAAUUCCGAUAACGAACGAGACUCUAGCCUACUAAAUAGAUCGUCGGCUUACAAACGCCGGCGAGACUUCUUAGAGGGACAGGCGGUGAUUCAACCGCACGAAACAGAGCAAUAACAGGUCUGUGAUGUCCUUAGAUGUCCGGGGCCGCACGCGCGCUACACUGAAGUGAUCAGCGUGCUUUUUCAACCUACUCUGUCAAGAGUGGGGAACCCAAUGAACCUUCUUCGUGAUUGGGAUAGGGGAUUGUAAUUAUUCCCCUUGAACGAGGAAUCCCCAGUAAGCGCGAGUCAUAAGCUCGCGUUGAUUACGUCCCUGCCCUUUGUACACACCGCCCGUCGCUACUACCGAUUGAACGAUUU
Molecule: ribosomal RNA, 519 nt
Filed under: uncultured eukaryote
Lineage: Eukaryota
Description: SSU rRNA
Rfam family: Eukaryotic small subunit ribosomal RNA
Source: RNAcentral